This 519-nucleotide ribosomal RNA is filed under the name uncultured eukaryote. RNAcentral describes it as "SSU rRNA". It matches the Rfam family "Eukaryotic small subunit ribosomal RNA", at positions 1161 to 1702 of the family's 1831-position model. The record is from RNAcentral.
AGGGCACCACCAGGAGUGGAGCCUGCGGCUUAAUUUGACUCAACACGGGAAAUCUUACCAGGCCCGGACACUGGAAGGAUUGACAGAUUGAGAGCUCUUUCUUGAUUCGGUGGGUGGUGGUGCAUGGCCGUUCUUAGUUGGUGGAGCGAUUUGUCUGGUUAAUUCCGAUAACGAACGAGACUCUGGCCUACUAAAUAGACGUUAGAUCCCUUUGUGGGUCUAUCGCAGCUUCUUAGAGGGACGGGCGGCGUUCAGCCGCACGAGAUUGAGCAAUAACAGGUCUGUGAUGCCCUUAGAUGUUCUGGGCUGCACGCGCGCUACACUGAAGGAAUCAGCGUGUGUUCCCUGCCCGAAAGGACUGGGAAACCCGUUGAACCUCCUUCGUGAUGGGGAUUGGGGAUUGCAAUUAUUCCCCAUGAACGAGGAAUUCCCAGUAGGCGCGAGUCAUAAGCUUGCGUCGAUUACGUCCCUGCCCUUUGUACACACCGCCCGUCGCUACUACCGAUCGAGUGAUUUAGU